Molecule: long non-coding RNA, 2627 nt
Filed under: Apis mellifera (honey bee)
Lineage: Eukaryota; Metazoa; Arthropoda; Insecta; Hymenoptera; Apidae
Description: uncharacterized LOC107964010, transcript variant X1
Source: RNAcentral
UCCUUGUACGUGUGUCGUCUCUUGUUCACGCUAAAGAUGGGUGUAUAACAAUCGUAUACAGUAUACCUCCAAAUUUAGAUUCGAGGGUGACUUACUGGUGGGUUUUUCGAGCACUCUUUUGCGAACCUGUGCUAGACAUACCUCGUGGGGCACCUUUAAACAAAACGAUCAUUCGUUAUUGGGCUCGGUUCGAGUCGAUCAGAUUCACUAGGAUCGAUAUAGGGUCGCUAAGAUCAUCGCUUAUGACGAAGGAAGGCGGACGAAUCUUUUUGAGGUUAUCGAAUUUCGUUGCUCGUUACUGGUCGCUGUUGAGUCGGUUAUUUAUAACCGUCUGUUGAUAAAUAUCGAUCGGUAAUUCUUAUCGACUUAAAUAUUUAAGAUUUUCGAAAUUUUUUGAGAUUAUAGAUACAGUAGUCUAGAAUUUUGUUUGAAAAAAUAAAAAAUGGAAAAAUAAAGUACUGUAUAUGAAGAAAUUAGAAGCAUCGUGACGAUGAGGUGUCGAGCUGGCGCAUGUGGAAACAUCGUUUCGAUUUCACGGGGUAACGACGUUCCAUAAAUUUUCUUAUCGAGCACGUUAAAACGAAUAUACGUACACCUGGAAUAUGCAAAUUAUAUGAUAUUUGAUUUUCCUUGAUAAAAAUUUCAUUUUUCUGCUGACACGCGUCGCAUACAGAUUCGAACGUUUUAAGCAAUUUUCAAAUUAAAACUUUUUAAAAUUAUUCGAGAGAUAAACAAUACGAACACGAAUGCAAUUAAAUAAUUUAUUUAACAUUUCGAGAAAUAAGCUAUUUAAUUUCGAUGAAAAUAUCUAGUUUUUUAAUAGUUACUAGAUACUUAGUUAUUUAGUUACUUAAUAUUAAAUUACUAUAAAAUAACUAGUUUUUAUUCUGCUUUUGAUUAAUACUUACCUGCUUAUAUCUAAAGAAGAAAUUUAACAAGUUUGACAAUCUUUUAUCUUAAAAGAAAAGAAAAAGCGAAAAAACGACUUUAUACACGCGCCAACUCAACGCAUAGAGAAUAGACCUUGGUGAAAUGAGCAAAAGACGCAAAAAGACUCACUGUUUCUGAUUACUUGUAUCAGUGAUAGGCACUCGUGUACUAAUAAUAAGUACUCGUACUGACACACGAGGCGAGUCUGCGUGAAUCAGGCGACACCAACAACACGUGAAAACACACGAUAAAAACUCUGGAACCCGAGACGGUCCGCGUCUACACAACGACGAAUGCGGACGGUUCGGUAUCCGGUGGUCGACCAGCGUCGAGCAUGCACAAUGAUACGUCAUUUUCGUGCCUCGAGGCGUUUUGUCAGAGUCAUCUCGCCGGCAAUCGACGACUUCCGCCCGUCUACAACCGCUUUCAUCCGCCAUUGGAAAAAUGGCAUCGAUGUUUCUUCGUCCAUUUUUCUUUUGCAUAUACUAUAUGCAAUAUACGUAUAUGUGAAUCGUGAAUUUCUUAACCUUCAAAUUGUAUUUUGCGACAUCAAAGUGAAAUUAUUGAAUAAAUUUUAAUUAAAAAAAAAAUUAAACUGAUGCAUAUAUAUGUCAGUGUACUUGAAGAGGUUAAUAUUGGGAUGACAGUAAGGAUUGAGAAAAUUUUGAAAAAAAUUUCCAAUCUAUUCACCUGGGAGAACGAGAAAUGUUAAGAUCAAUGAUAAACGUGAAAAGAAAAAUGUGAAAACGGAAAGAUGGAUUUCAUUGGCAUCGAUUUUCGAGGUGGAAGUCGUCGAUUCCAGGAUGGAAAGAAGCCACCAACACCACACUUAAGCUUCUCCCAUGCGACGAAACGUCGAUGCUUUAAUUAAAGGAGAAUACAGAUGAAGAUAAAAAUCUAACCUAACCUGACUCAAGUGCGAGAAGAAAAUUAAGAAAAAUCUUCGUCGAAAAUGAAGAAAGGUGAAAAAAGAAUAUUUAUAAAAAAAAAACGACGAAUAUCUUUUCGAAAGAACAUAUGUAUGAAGAAAUUCGUUAUUUAAUUAAAUAUAUAAAAUUUAUAUAACGUACAAAUAUAUAUAAAGAAUAAAUAUAUACGAAGAAUCUAACAUAACCUAAUCUAAUUGAGAGAAAAACUCUUCUCUUUCCCUCGAAUCUGGAAAAAAAAAUAGAAACAAAGAGGAAACGAUACGUGAAAUCAAGUCAAAUAAAUAAAACGAGCAACGAUCUUCACCAAGCCUAACUUAACCUAAUUGAAAAAAAAUCGAAAAUUAAGAAAUGAGGAGAAAGAAAGAAACGAGAGAUUUCUUCAAACCGAUAUAUAAUCGAAGUCAAAAGAAUAAAACAAAGCGAAACAAUAAUGAAAAAGAAGAAAAUAUCGUUGAGCAGGAAUAUAUUCAAAAAUUGUUGAUCUGGAUUUUUGCUAAUGGACACGAACGAGAAGAUAAGGAAAAGGCGGAGAUUUUUCUGCUGUCUUCCAAUUAUCCUUCGAUUCUCGCCAAUUCCAACUCUUGGAGUUCACCACUUGGAUAUUUCAAAUUUUAUUUAUUAUAUUCGGGGAUGUUUGUCGGAUUAAGGAGAACGAAGAUGAGGAUGAGAAGGGAAUUUCCGAUUUUCUAAUUAUUAUCCAUGAUUUUUGCGUGGAACGUUGGAAUGUUUAUUAUUAAUUCAUAAUAAUAAACAUGCUCGGAUUCGCCA